Molecule: ribosomal RNA, 253 nt
Filed under: uncultured bacterium
Lineage: Bacteria
Description: partial 16S ribosomal RNA
Rfam family: Bacterial small subunit ribosomal RNA
Source: RNAcentral
UACGUAGGGUGCUAGCGUUGUUCGGAAUCAUUGGGCGUAAAGCGCGUGUAGGUUGUUAGGUAAGUCUUGUGUGAAAUCCCUGGGCUCAACCGAGGAAGUGCAUGGGAAACUACCUAGCUAGAAGAUGGUAGAGGAAGGUGGAAUUCCUAGUGUAGAGGUGAAAUUCGUAGAUAUUAGGAGGAAUACCGGUGGCGAAGGCGGACUUCUGGACCAUUCUUGACACUGAGACGCGAAAGCGUGGGUAGCAAACAGG